RNAcentral lists this ribosomal RNA (253 nucleotides) under uncultured bacterium. RNAcentral describes it as "partial 16S ribosomal RNA". It matches the Rfam family "Bacterial small subunit ribosomal RNA", at positions 524 to 776 of the family's 1533-position model. The record is from RNAcentral.
UACGUAGGGUGCAAGCGUUGUUCGGAUUCAUUGGGCGUAAAGGGUGCGUAGGUGGCGCGGUAAGUCGGGUGUGAAAUUUCGGAGCUUAACUCCGAAACUGCAUUCGAUACUGCCGUGCUUGAGGACUGGAGAGGAGACUGGAAUUUACGGUGUAGCAGUGAAAUGCGUAGAGAUCGUAAGGAAGACCAGUGGCGAAGGCGGGUCUCUGGACAGUUCCUGACGCUGAGGCACGAAGGUCAGGGGAGCAAACGGG